Non-coding RNA from Anisakis simplex (herring worm), 48 nucleotides. The record is from Rfam. Lineage: Eukaryota; Metazoa; Nematoda; Chromadorea; Rhabditida; Anisakidae.
AUCAGACUUUUAAUCUGAGGGUCAGGGGUUCGAGUCCCCUAAGUGGCU